AGUACCACAGAAAUAUUCAAGUUUAGAAACUGGUCUUGUUGUUGGAAUGACGUUUCUUGGUAUCUUCAUCGGCAUCCUUUUGUCUUUAUCUGCAUUCCUCAUCCACGGAAAAAUAAGGGCUUCAAAGGCACAGGAAAGCAAAGUAACCUCCUGCAAUAUGGAUCAACAGGCGGUAUAUAUGUCGUAUGGUGAGCCGAGUGCAGAGAACAAGACGUAUGAAGAUCUACAGUGGAUUGAUGAUAACCCAGUCGUUUAUUAAAAUGUAAAACCAAAAAAAUAGAAUACUUAAUUUUUAUGUGUAUAUUUAGCACUGAACGGAUCAAGCAGACUGCAAUAGACAUCCCCACCCUCCAUAACACUAAUAUCAGCAUUUUCACGUUUAUAAAAAAUCUUAAAAAAUCAUUCACUCAUUGAUAAAACAAUUAUUUGCACAUAUUUUGCACAGUAUUAUUAUUUACAAGCCUCUGGCUUCCUGUAAGUAAUAUGCCAUUUGCGUUGUUUGUUUAACAUCUGUAUUCAGUGACUGAAAAUGAAAUGAAAUAAAGAUACUCUUAAACAGAUAAUAG
Anneissia japonica is the source of this 566-nucleotide long non-coding RNA. RefSeq lists it as uncharacterized. NCBI's taxonomy places the organism in Eukaryota, Metazoa, Echinodermata, Crinoidea, Comatulida, Comatulidae. The transcript has 3 exons. The record is from RefSeq and is a predicted model, not a curated record.